AGACCCGAAACCCGGUGAUCUAGCCAUGGGCAGGUUGAAGGUUGGGUAACACUAACUGGAGGACCGAACCGACUAAUGUUGAAAAAUUAGCGGAUGACCUGUGGCUGGGGGUGAAAGGCCAAUCAAACCGGGAGAUAGCUGGUUCUCCCCGAAAGCUAUUUAGGUAGCGCCUCGUGAAUUCAUCUCCGGGGGUAGAGCACUGUUUCGGCUAGGGGGCCAUCCCGGCUUACCAACCCGAUGCAAACUGCGAAUACCGGAGAAUGUUAUCACGGGAGACACACGGCGGGUGCUAACGUCCGUCGUGAAGAGGGAAACAACCCAGACCGCCAGCUAAGGUCCCAAAGUCAUGGUUAAGUGGGAAACGAUGUGGGAAGGCCCAGACAGCCAGGAUGUUGGCUUAGAAGCAGCCAUCAUUUAAAGAAAGCGUAAUAGCUCACUGGUCGAGUCGGCCUGCGCGGAAGAUGUAACGGGGCUAAACCAUGCACCGAAGCUGCGGCAGCGACACUGUGUGUUGUUGGGUAGGGGAGCGUUCUGUAAGCCUGUGAAGGUGUGUCGUGAGGCAUGCUGGAGGUAUCAGAAGUGCGAAUGCUGACAUAAGUAACGAUAAAGCGGGUGAAAAGCCCGCUCGCCGGAAGACCAAGGGUUCCUGUCCAACGUUAAUCGGGGCAGGGUGAGUCGACCCCUAAGGCGAGGCCGA
Molecule: ribosomal RNA, 697 nt
Filed under: Salmonella enterica subsp. enterica serovar Newport
Lineage: Bacteria; Pseudomonadati; Pseudomonadota; Gammaproteobacteria; Enterobacterales; Enterobacteriaceae
Also listed under: 1 other name
Description: partial 23S ribosomal RNA
Rfam family: Bacterial large subunit ribosomal RNA
Source: RNAcentral